Molecule: long non-coding RNA, 988 nt
Organism: Cucurbita maxima (winter squash)
Lineage: Eukaryota; Viridiplantae; Streptophyta; Magnoliopsida; Cucurbitales; Cucurbitaceae
Exons: 3
Source: RefSeq, a predicted model, not a curated record
AGGAGGAAUUACAAAUAAAAAUAAAAAAUUGAGUGCCACGUAGUUGCGCUUUCUCAGUAUGCGAGAAGAGAACCAGUGUGGGUCCCACUAGACUAAAUGCACACGCUUAAUGGGAUAUGAGGGCCACGCGCCUCCACUUUUAAUGGCAAAUGCCUGAAUUCACUAAGUAGUGUAACGGAAAACGGGGAGUACGUGUGGUCGAGGAAGCGAUGAAGGGUAUAUGCGGUUUUGUGAAGAAUCGGAUGUGGCGCGAGAAGGACAGAGUCGGACGGUCGCAUCCGGUGAGAGGCGGAUCUGGAGAAACAGUCGGCUGAUGAGAUUUGGCGGAAAGCGGUUAAUAUUUCGAAUUAGGUUCCCAAUGUUGCCAACAAGCUUCUUUGGAGGAGGGAGAGAAGAGAGCGAGUUUCGCCAGGUAAAAUUUCUGACCGCGUUCGGAUUUGAGAUCCUAGCGUUUCUUCUCUUUUUAAUCUCUCCUCUAGCGGGGAGUUGAAACAGAGCAGACGACAAUGGGAUGGUGGAGCAGGAUGACCUCUCCGUUGCGAAGAUUUAGCUUCAGAGUCGCGUCUCGUCUAGGAUUUCGCAAACGCGGGCUGCUGAAACUUGGGCGAGAUGUGAGGGCUUGCGAAUACGGGGACGUGCAGGUGAUGUGGGAGAUGGUGAAGAGAAACGAAAAGGAGGUGGUUGGCGUCCAGGAGAGACGGCGAAAGAGGAGAUCGUUGUUGAAUAUCUUCUGGUGGGGUGGAUCAGGUGCAUGCAUUGGCUGCAGAUUCUGAACAAUUCACUUCACAGUCCAUCCCCACUCUUCUGUUCUAAAUCCGGCACCGUGAAUUUGGGUCACAAACAGAUUCAAAGUUGAAGAACAACGCUGCACUCUACACUAAUUCGAAGAAGAGGAAGAAGUGAUUGCGCAGUUUAAUCCAAUCUUGACUAGACCCUCUCUCUUCUCUCCUUGCUUCCUUAUCUAUGAAAUAAUAAACUAAAUUUUGGU